UACGAAGGGGGGCUAGCGUUGCUCGGAAUCACUGGGCGUAAAGCGCACGUAGGCGGCUUUUUAAGUCAGGGGUGAAAUCCUGGAGCUCAACUCCAGAACUGCCUUUGAUACUGAGAAGCUUGAGUCCGGGAGAGGUGAGUGGAACUGCGAGUGUAGAGGUGAAAUUCGUAGAUAUUCGCAAGAACACCGGUGGCGAAGGCGGCCUGCUGGGCAGUUGCUGACACUGAGGCGCGACAGCGUGGGGAGCAAACAGG
RNAcentral lists this ribosomal RNA (254 nucleotides) under uncultured bacterium. Its description in RNAcentral is "partial 16S ribosomal RNA". It matches the Rfam family "Bacterial small subunit ribosomal RNA", at positions 524 to 776 of the family's 1533-position model. The record is from RNAcentral.